Molecule: unclassified non-coding RNA, 253 nt
Filed under: uncultured Candidatus Altimarinota bacterium
Lineage: Bacteria; Candidatus Altimarinota
Description: uncultured Candidatus Gracilibacteria bacterium contains 16S-23S intergenic spacer region
Rfam family: Bacterial small subunit ribosomal RNA
Source: RNAcentral
UACGUAAGGUGCAAGCGUUAUCCGGAAUCAUUGGGCGUAAAGCGUUCGUAGGCCGCCGAACAAGUUUGUGGUUAAAUCUGAUCGCUCAACGAUCAAAUCGCUACGAAAACUAUUCGGCUAGAGAACAGCAGAGGCAACUGGAAUUCUGCAUGUAGGGGUAAAAUCCGUUGAUAUGCAGAGGAACACCAAAAGCGAAGGCAGGUUGCUGGGCUGUUUCUGACGCUGAGGAACGAAAGCGUGGGGAGCAAACAGG